UUUUUAGUGGGUGUGAGAAGACUCAGA
This 27-nucleotide non-coding RNA is filed under the name Rattus norvegicus (Norway rat). Lineage: Eukaryota; Metazoa; Chordata; Mammalia; Rodentia; Muridae. The record is from RNAcentral.